CUCACUCUGUCGCCCAGGCUGGAGUGCAGUGGCACGAUCUCGGCUCACUGCAACCUCCACCUCCCGGGUUCACGCCAUUCUCCUGCCUCAGCCUCCCGAGUAGCUGGGACUACAGGCGCCCGCCACCACGCCCGGCUAAUUUUUUGUAUUUUUAGUAGAGACAGGGUUUCACCGUGUUAGCCAGGAUGGUCUCGAUCUCCUGACCUCGUGAUCC
Molecule: long non-coding RNA, 214 nt
Filed under: Homo sapiens (human)
Lineage: Eukaryota; Metazoa; Chordata; Mammalia; Primates; Hominidae
Source: RNAcentral